This is a non-coding RNA of Homo sapiens (human), 190 nucleotides long. It matches the Rfam family "7SK RNA". Rfam says of the family: 7SK was discovered as an abundant small nuclear RNA in the mid-70s but a possible function has only recently been suggested. Two independent studies have found that 7SK RNA binds the CDK9/cyclin T complex (known as elongation factor P-TEFb). The record is from Rfam. Lineage: Eukaryota; Metazoa; Chordata; Mammalia; Primates; Hominidae.
GGGUUGGUGAGGGCAAUCUAGUCAACAUCCGUCACUCCAUUGCUUGUUAGGCUUAUUUUAGCCGAUGUGUCUGACUGGGCAGGUGUCCCCUCUCUCCCUCAGUGCUCCAUGUGCAUCCCUCUUGAAGCUUCGCACUCUGUUGAAGAGGACACUCAUCCCAGGUAGAGAGGGGGACGGGAAACUGGGCCAA